GACGAACGCUGGCGGCGUGCUUAACACAUGCAAGUCGAACGGAAAGGCCCUGCUUUUGUGGGGUGCUCGAGUGGCGAACGGGUGAGUAACACGUGAGUAACCUGCCCUUGACUUUGGGAUAACUUCAGGAAACUGGGGCUAAUACCGGAUAGGAGCUCCUGCUGCAUGGUGGGGGUUGGAAAGUUUCGGCGGUUGGGGAUGGACUCGCGGCUUAUCAGCUUGUUGGUGGGGUAGUGGCUUACCAAGGCUUUGACGGGAAGCCGGCCUGAGAGGGUGACCGGCCACAUUGGGACUGAGAUACGGCCCAGACUCCUACGGGAGGCAGCAGUGGGGAAUAUGGCACAAUGGGCGGAAGCCUGAUGCAGCAACGCCGCGUGCGGGAUGACGGCCUUCGGGUUGUAAACCGCUUUCGCCUGUGACGAAGCGUGAGUGACGGUAAUGGGUAAAGAAGCACCGGCUAACUACGUG
Molecule: ribosomal RNA, 468 nt
Filed under: uncultured bacterium
Lineage: Bacteria
Description: partial 16S ribosomal RNA
Rfam family: Bacterial small subunit ribosomal RNA
Source: RNAcentral